RNAcentral lists this long non-coding RNA (17909 nucleotides) under Homo sapiens (human). RNAcentral describes it as "non-protein coding PAUPAR:10". The record is from RNAcentral. Lineage: Eukaryota; Metazoa; Chordata; Mammalia; Primates; Hominidae.
UGCGCGCCUUGAUCCGGGCGGCGGCUAAGGGAGAGCCGAGCACAGAUGGCGCCGAGGCGGAGGUCUAGUGAUUCCCGCUCCCGCCCCUGGCACACCUGGACAGGUGCCGGGCCUCGCAACCGGCCAGGAGGCAGCUCCAGGCAGCCCGUCUGCCCACUCCUCUUAGCCCGGACAGCUCCUAGCUGGACUUGAUUUUUUGUCUUGCUCAGCCCGUCGAGGACUGGAGGGCAGAGUAGGGGUGGGAGUGGGGGUAGGGGUAGAGGUGGGGGUGGCGGUGAAGGUGGGGAGGAGAAUGGGAGCUUUGGCUGAGAAGUUUCCGCAGGAUGUUCUUACUUAUUUACAAACAUUCUCCAAACUUUCUUUCUUCUUCCUAACGCCCUGGGCAUCCUGUGUUAAGGCCUAGGAGCGCCCACCUCCCACUGGCCACUCUAGUCUGGGCCUAGACCUUACCAUGGUCCUGUCGCCCUGCUCGGCUGGGAAGGGAUGCUAAGAGAGGCAUUUGUUCUGGUUUCCCUGUCGCCGUCGGCCAUCUCCAGUGACCUAGUUUCUUGGUAAGCCCCUAGCUCCCCUCCAGGACCUGGCCCAGCCUCCAGCCUCAGAUGUCCUGAGGUCUCCCAGACUCCGCCGUCCGCCUUGGCGUGUGGGCUGCGGAUAGGCCUCGGACCUGUGUAGGCCUUCCUAGCUGGCCAGUUUCUGUCCGGGUCUCGCUCCCCACACUGUACCAACCCUAGGCCGCCGAGAGGGCUGUUAUGGGCUUGUUUGGAGUCCAGGCCAUUAAGUGUGCGCAAAUCCCUGCAACCCAGCAGGGUGCUCGAGAGCGACUCUGGAAACGCCACGGCCCCCGCCUGCUUAUCUGCCUGUCAAUAAAGGGCGCGUUCGGGCUGCGCGGGAGCGCCGGUGGUGCAGGCGAGGCCCGAACUAGGCCCUUCCGAGCUCCGGGCCAACGCACGAGCCGCUCUCCAUUUGUCCCGGGCAAGGAGGCUGGGAGGGAGGGAGCCGGCUCUGGGGUCGCCGAGGGAGAAGGUGCGGGUUUAGCCGCUGCCUCAGCUGGAUUCUUGGAGAAGCGCUCGACCUCGGAGCACUCUGGAGACCCUACCAGAAAUCUAGUGCUGGGGGCUCCUCUCCGCGCCUGCCACCAGCCUUGGAGGAAGCUGGGCAGGGCCCCGUGUGGUGCCCAGCCUACGAGGUCCCACCUCGCCUCUCCCUGGCAGAGGCAUCCUCUCUAGGCCACACUGGCUCGCAUUGCGGGAAGAAGGGCACCGCGGGCGGCCCGGGGGCAUCAUCGACGACUCGUAGAGCCCCAAAUGCCGAGUGCUACCUGAGGCAGGCUGUAGCUGGGGUGAAAAGGACCGGAAGCGGGAAAGAAACCUCUUUUCUUUCAGGCCUCCCUUCAGCCCGGGGUAGCACAGACUGCAAAUUUCCGACACCUAGGGCAGCUCCAGGCUCUGAUUCUCCACCGCACAGUGAGCGAGCUCGGCAGCCGCCCAGUCUGCGUAGGCUCCCAGGCCAGCCCCGGCCCCAGAGCUUCCCCAUCAGCCAGCAGAGGCUGGGUGGAGAGCCUGGAUGGGCGUGAGAGGCCUUGAAGUAGGGGAAGUAGUGGAGAGAGAGAAAGAUAGAGAAAUCGGCUCUUGGCUUGAACUGUUGUUCUUGUCGAAGGUAUGUUUUCCCCUCCCGGCCUCUGUCGCUUUUCCUCUCUCCCCUUAACUACUUUAUGCAAAUAAAGCCGCUUCCAGACUGGAGGAGCCCCUACCGCUGGAUCUGUGCUACCAGGUGGGUGGGAAUUGAUUUAGUAUUUGCCUUUUUAUUGAGAAUAGGCACUGAGUCUCCCACCAAUUAUAAAAUAAAAAUGGAUUUUCCUCUUAAAAUUUAAUUUUACUCAAUCUGGAAGAUAAUGCAUCCUGUUAAUUUCUACAAUAUUUUUAAAAAAGGAUUCCAGGGUGAGCGCUAACUUAUAAAAUGGUUUAAUAAAGCUUUUCCAUAUACAAAUUAAUAGGAGAGGAAAAAGCCCCUAAAUAAUUGAUUUAAAAUACUGUGUAUUAUUUGAGUGUCAUUUCAAAUAGCUGUACAAGCCAGUAAUCAAUAUAUCAUCUAAGGAAUCUAAUUUACUGGGCAGUACGUGUGGCUCUUGCUCUUCCUUCCCUCUCCACUUCCUCCCCUUUAAACAGAAAACUUGUUUUAACAAGAUUUUUAUUUUAAAUCAAAAUUGAAGGAAAGUUUUGUGAAUUCGAGCGUCAAAAAGGGGACUAUUUAGCAAAGAUAAUAUUUGCCAUCUCUUCACCCCGGUCUCAAGGAUUGCAUAAUGGCAUGAUUAUGUGCAAUUCUGUGUUUUCUCUGCUAUUAAUUUAUUUUCCUGCUCUCAUUUAAAUAACUACUUUACUUUUUUCUCUCUUCUAUUUUGCCACACCAUAAAAAGUUUUCCCGGACCUCUGUGGAAAAUCUCCAAUCCUUCCAGUUAGCUUUGUCACAAACAAACAAACAAACAAAAAACAAACAAACAAACAAAACAAAACAAAAAACUCUACAACAAUCAAUUUGAGAAAACUCUGCUUUUUCUUUCCUUUUAAACAUUUUCAUAUUAAGUCAGUUUGUGGCACCAUGUUUGAUUUCUUUCUCUCCCUUGUCCGGGUAGAGAUGGAGACAUUAGCUGAAUUCCCUGGGGGUGAUUGGAUGCAAUUCACUGAAAGUAGACAGGCACGUCCUGGAUGUUAGAAAUUCACUUUUUCUCAACGUGACAAGGCCGGCUUCGAUCUACAAUUGUAUUUGAAUGGGCAAUGAGCGGAAAGAUCUCUCAUCAUUAAGCUUGCUUCUACUUUAGCAAAAUAAGGAGAGCCUUCAUUUGCACACAAAUGCUCAUAAAACUCGGAUUCCCUGCAACCCUUUAAUAAAAAAGGAUUGCUGCAUAAUUUAAAUUGGAGGCCAGGGGAAGGCUGAGAGAGGGAGAUGAGGGGGUUUCAACUGAGUCCCCUCCCUUCCCCCAAAAGGUCCAUGUGAUCGAGUUGACUUUUUUACUUUAAAUCUUAAAUAAGAUGUGAGUUGUAACAAGAGGAUUGGCACUUACUCCGUGACCCUUAUAAUUGGAUUAAAUAUAGACUGAGACGUACAAAAACACACCAAGAUUGACACCUGCCAACUGGACUUCCUUAUGAUUGAUUGUGAUGCUUCGUGCUGGCAACAAUAAUGAAAUAAAUUGUACGGAUAAAACAGCACAUUUGUCAUUUCCGUGCCAUGAGUGAGGAAGUCAACGAGUUAGGCAAGCUGUUAGCUGACAGGCGCGAGCGGGAGGCAAGCUAAAGAGAUAAAUAAGGAUUCCAGGCAUUGACAGGACAAAUUAUAACUUGUCACAACCUUUUUAAAUUCAGAAGUUUUCAAUUAACAUAUAUAUUGCUGUUACAUAUAAGAUAAGGGGGCACUGACGUAAACACGCGUGGGGUGCAGGGACCCCCCCCCCCAGUGCCAAGGGUUUGGGCAUCCGGGCUUGGGCAUCCAGGCCUCUCUGGCUCUGUUCUCCCAUUCUGGCAAGCCGGAGGGCACCCAGGUUUGCAUGGCCAGCCUGUAGGCCCGGGGCUCCGUAAGGUGGGUGAGAGUGUGAUAGGCUAAGUGCAGCUGCUUCUUUUGCUAGGAGCCCCAGUUCACAGGUCCAGCACCCUUUCUUCAUGGAAGCAAAGCUCCCAGAUCAAGGGAGAGGCUGGGCGAGGCCUGGGCCCAGGUCUGGAAGGACAAGUCCUGCUCUGUCUCCUGGAGUCCUAUGUAAGGAGUAAGAGAUAGAGGGCAGAGGCUCCCCCUUUUGCGCUCCAAUGUCUUGCCCUCAUAGGAAAAUCUGAGCUGCUGGACACAACAUAUCAACAAUGGCCACAUCCUGUGGGCAGGCCUAGGCCACUGAAACCUGGUGUGGCCUGAGGCUGCUCCUGAGCUCUCAACUCCUUCUCUGACUCACCGGCCCAGUGCCGCCAAGGAACCGGUCCUGUGUCCUACCUAGGAAGAGCUGCUUUUCCCUCCUCAGACUUUGUUUCUGGUACAGUUCCCAGGGCUCUUCCUUGACCCAUGGGUAGGAACGAGUUUGCCAGUGGGUCCUUGAUAACCUGAGGCCAUUCACCUAGAGCAAGUGAGAUUUUCAGAGGAGCAAAGCGCUGGAGUCACCCUGUGAGGCUGCAAGUUAGGGGAAGCCAUGAGAUUUCUGGGGAAGUCUAGGUGUUGUGACUGUGACUGGGGACUGCUGUGGGUGAGGUUUGAAGAGUGUGGAGGGACUGUAAACUCUGCAACCAUCUUCACCCCAAAGGAGGCUGGCUUUUUGGUUUUAAAGCUAACCCCUAUCCUAAAGCAGAAUCUAGACUUGCAGGGCCUCUCUGAACUCAGGUCCCAGCCUCCCCGCAAAGUCCAGCUGGAAAGGAAAGUUUGGGCGGGAAGCGAGCGUCCCCGGGUCUGAGGCUGCUGGGUGGAAAGCUGGCCUAGGAGGGCGAGUAGGGAGCAAAAUAGGGCCUGGUCCUUGCGGGGCCGGGGAGCUAGAGGCCGCAGGAAGCUGGGAGGGCCCUUUCCAGGCAGGCAGGGCAGCCUCCUGGCGCGGCCCAAGGCGCGAGGCAGCCGCUGGCUAGGGAGGUCCAGUCUCCUGCAGGCCAGGGAGGGCUUCCUCUGGGUGCAGCCGUCUCCCUCCGCUCCUCAGCUUGGCUACUUGGUGCUCGGACCCCGCAUCCUAGUCCUCGUCCUUGUGGGACAGAGGCCAACCUUGCUGUCGAGGCCCCAAUAUGUCACCACAAACACUCCCAGAACAAGAGCAUCAACCCCAAGCUCCAGAACUUCUGGUCUUAGCCUACUGGAGCCUGCCACCAAAUUAAACACCGCGAAGGCUUUGAAUCCCUGCAAAGACGGAGCCUGGAAGAAAGGGAGGGAGGAAAAGGGAGGAAAAAAAACAAGUUACAUGGAAUUAGUUGGAAGCGGGCGCAUUCCCCAGCGACCGCAGCCAUUAACAUUAUAAUCUCAAACGCCAUUUUUUAUGUAACACUAUUGUUAGUAAAUCAACUCCUCAGGUCCUCAGAGACGCUGACCCCUGGCAAUUCAGUGAAAGUGUAAUUAUCUCCCCGAAUCUUGGACAGAUUUAAGAGAUUACAUUUCAACUAAAUCUAUAUCAAUGCUAAUUCCCUCUCUCCCCCCAGCCUGCAGGUGCUAGGCACGGGAAAUGGCGUCAGGCCCCAGCAGAACGCUUCACAAAGAGGAGAGGGCUAGCUGUGUACAGGGCCAAAAGAAAUGAAGCCCCACAUAAAAUUACACCUUUUUUUUUUUGCUACAAAACCUGGUUCUUAUAUAGCAAAGUUAAACAAAGCAGCUAUGCUAAAUUAGCGUUACAUAAAGGCGAGUUUAAUGCUCGGUUACAGUCAACUGGUGUAUCUCUGAUGGCUAAUUGUCUAUCAAAAUUAAAGAGAAAAGAACAAAUGAUUCGUUAUAAGAAGGUGUUAAAAGCCUCAACAAAAGGACAUUUCACAAAUAUAAUAUCGGCAGCUCCCGGAUUGCCUGCGGGGUUGUUCAGGCCCCGGGCCUGCACAGCUAUGAGAAGUGGGGUGCAGGGUGCUAUUUGCCCAGCAAAAGCUCAUUUCCUCCCAAAUGAGUAUAAUGAAAACCCGAGAGGCGAUAUUAGUGUAAAGAUCGGGAUUAGUCCAAAUAGGAGCCGCGGACUUGGGCUUCAAAGGCGACCCCUACUCUUUUUGCCCAGUCUGGGGGCGGAGGGCGCUCGAAGGGAUACUUCAAGGACACCACAUCCAACUUGUCGCAGCCCCACGUUCAGGCACAGGAGGGAGCGAACAUUGGGCAGAGGGUAAUUUCAACAAAGGACGGCAGGCUCCGGGGAUCCCGGCUUUUCCCUGAGUUCUCUGGGUUGGAAGGAGAGGGUCCGGGCUCUGUCGGAGGAGUGGGUACAGCCCAGCACAUGCUUUUCUGACGCGCAGCGCUGGCCUGGGGAGUGGGUGCAGCUGCUGCAGCCAGCCCCCACCCCGCCCCAGGCUGGGAAGGACGCAGAGUAUAAUACGACGGCCCCCUUCCCCAAGGGGACACUAGAUCCAGAGCUCCAGGCAUAUUUGUUGUUCAAAGUUAAUUAUACCUGAAAGCAACCAAAAUGCGCACGCCAGGCCCACGGAGGCCGAUUGCCGACCAGCGUAGCCGGCCCGCAGCGCCAGAGAAGCCGCUCACUCCGGCGGAGUCUCUGCAAGAGAAUCUGAGGCUGGGGAAUAAAAGCCGAAACUAAAUCAGGCAGCAAGAGUAACAAACCAUCUGGAAAAUGGACCCACGGAGCCGCAAGAAUGUACUUUUUUUUUUUAUCCUUGACAACUUGUGUCCUAAAGAAAGUGUAUUGAAGAUAAUUGAAAUGAUUACAAUUCAUUGCUGCCUGACUUUGAAUAUGAACAGUCACAUAAUGACAUCCCCGCCACACAACAACAGUUUAAUUUCCAUUAUCCGACUUCGGGAUCCUAGCGCCAGCCGCCGGGGCAACGUGGCGCUAAUGCAGAAAUCUUGGCUCCUGCCUGCAUUAUUCAUUUCGGGGACGUGGGGAUGGGAUAGGAGUGGAGAGUGGGUUUCUUCCCCUCCCCCGAACUUAUUCUGAAAAUCCCGGGGACCAAUGGACACCGAGGAACCGAAAGCCGAGAGAAUAGCUGUCAAGGGGCCACUUUGACCGACGGGGCUGCGGUCGACGGCGCUCCCCGGCUGUCUUUUUGUCCCAGGGGUUCCCAGGCCCGCAGGGCUAGGAUCCCCCAGCUCCCACCCUAGUCAGUCCCAGUCAGGGAGGACCUAGGCCAGGGCCUCCUCCCAAGGCUGUCAUCUGGCGGGGCAAACGCUCUUCUCUCAUUCCUUCGUCUCCCUUCCAGCCCUCGCAUCCUUUCCUUCUUUCUGCUUCAGAGCUCUCAGGCUCGCGUGCAGGGCGGGAUGGGCCCGGAUCGGGGGCCCCUUCGCAGAUUUGAAAGUUGCCUCGGCCUUGAUCUUCUCCCAGCCUCCCUGCUGGGGACUCACCCCCACAUCCCGCUACCCCCCGGGGAAAAGCGAAGAAAGCCAGAGUCUCUUUGCACGGCGGGGACGCUGGCGCUCACCUCUGGGCGCGGCCUCGGUGGAGCCUCAGGGCCAGGGCGGGGUGUGGCGGGGUGUGGCCCGGUGGGGUGAGGGAGGGACCCGGGGUGCAAGCCAGGCCAAGGCCUCCUCAGUGCGCAGGCGCCGUUCGGGCCCGCCGCCCCCUCCCAAGGCGUGGGGUCCCGGGGACAGACCCCGAGCCCCUCUCUGCGCAACUACCGCCUCUAAAAAAAAGACCAUCUGGUAAUUGUCUUUCUUUAGAUCUUCCCUUAAUUAUGCUUUUAAUUAAAGAUGGUUCAAGGCACCGGACCACAUGAAGGGCAGUAAUUACAAAUUACAUUACAAACCCGACAGACGUAGCAGGAUCUGCUGGGAAAAAGGUACCGGAAUAAAAAUUUGACUAAAGUUUGGGAUAAAUUAAUCGGUGGCUUGAAGAACAGUAGCACAUUUCUGAUUAUGUAGGCUCCAGCCAGGAUUUAAGUUUUGUGUCAUGAUUGUUUUCAUAUUUCUUUGACAUCUAUUGAUUUGGAGGCAGCUGCAAGCCUUUGUCACAGGAGAGAAGAGCAGUCACAAUAUAUUAGCUUGAUGGCAUAACUCGAACCGGAGAAGCGAGGGGAGCCUGAGUGACUGGGGCGCACAUGACCCCCCUCCUGGGGCCUUUGGGCUCAACCCUUACUUUUAACUUGUUCUAACAGGAAUAAUGGAGUAGUACUACUAAUGCAUGGUCAGAAGGGGCUUUUCUGUCUAGAACGCAGGCGGCGGGAGUUGCACCGCCACAGCCCGGGAGACCAAAGAGUCUCCACUCCCCGCUCCCGGCGCCUCCUCGCCGACCGGAGCCCCGAGCCCAGUGAGCCCAGCCGGUCCCACGUCGAGAGGCGCUGGGUUGGGAGAAGUUCUGCUGGUCGUGGGCUCGGCCCCCAGGCGCCAGGCCGAGUGCCCACCUCGGCUUCUUUAGGGGGCCUACAGCGGGCAGCCGAGCGGCUGGCGGACCCGGAGCUUGGGAGGCGACCGCCAGGCUGGUGCCCGGCCUGACCCGGCGUUCGCGGCCGCCCGCUCGCCCGCCGCGGGCCGGGAGCGUACAGGAGUGUGACGCAGAUUGUGAAAACAGAAGGGAGGGAGUUGGGUCAUUUCCUUCGCUAAUCAUCGCCCCCUCCUGCUCCUCCUCCCCACCCCCAUCCCAUCCUCGCCGCCACCCAGCCUCGAACUCUCUUCCUUGCCAGAGUCUGCCUCACUUUGAGCCAGUGGCUGCACUUUAUGGAGAAAAUAUAUGUGCCCAUCACUCACCCAUCUAUUUGCAGCGUCCAUGGAGCGCCUCGGGGAACACGCAUGGACAAUUAAACACACCCACUUACGGCGGGAUGAUGAGGCUUUCUGUUAACCACAUGUGUUCAGAAAUGGAUACAGCCCUAAUUUUGACACGGAAUGCAGCUAAUGCACCUUGCUAUAGAUGUACGUCCGUUGGAAAAGUGUGUGAUGGGCACCUGAUCUACACCAAGAGAACAGGGCUGUCUGCAGAAGACCCAGCGGCCUGACACCUUUUCUUGUUGCCGGGGAAGGAAAGUUUUUCUUUUGAUUUGUCCUCUCACGAUUUUUCCCUUUUCCUUUGCAUUACAGUUUCAGAGAGGAAUGUAAAUAUUUUGACUAGACCUCUGCAGGGGCCUUUUAAACACCAGGCACAAUCAUCUGUGGAAUACUGUAGUUCAUACUUUCAAAACUUGGGUGUUAAAGAGUCUGUCUUGCUGAGGAAACCCAUAGAACUAGUGGCGACCUUUCAACUCCCUAUUUGUGUGAUGAAAUGAAGUAUGCCCUAGUGAUUGUCGAAUUUUAAGGACUUGUUCUGUCACUGCUACUUUCCGAUCGUUUGCAGGGAAGAAAAAUCAAUCAAACAGACCUUUGAUGGGGUUGUGGCAAGGUCACAUUUCACUGUGCUCCAGGCUUACCUCUUCUUAACGCCCCUCCCUGCUGUGGAGCGUGUGCAGGUAGUAUGCAAAACUCUAGAAAUAAUAUUUGAAAAAAUUAACACCUUGUUUAUCUCUUCUGUGUAUUUGAUAUAGGGGUUUCUUUCUUUUCCUGUUUUGGUGUUUAAUACAAGGCUGAUAUAUUGGAACAGAAUGCAGACUUCAAAGAAACUAAAAUUAGGAGGCAAAUAGCGUCAAGGUUUCCUCGGUUUCUGUAUGUAGUACAAAUAGUAUAGCGUCUUUUCAUCCAAAAAGAAGCAAAAAUUGCCAGGAGGCAUAAAGCAUCUCUGAAUAUCCGUUUUUUUUAAAGAAACAAACAUUUCCCAAAUAUUGAUGUACGCAUGGUUUUAUAGUCUGAAAAUAUUUCUAGGCACAAAUAUGGCAUACAAACAUUCGUUUCAACUCUGUCGUUGUUGUUAAAAUGACAGUAAAUUAUAGUUUAUUUUAAGAUACCUCCCUGUUAAUGUCAGUUGAGGUUAUUUUAGGGCCUGGAUGCUCUAGGAAGACCACCUAAAAUGUGUUUAUUUCUCUGCCCAAUUCACCUAUAGUGUAAGGAGCAUUUUAUUUUAUUUUAUUUUAUUUUAUUUUAUUUUAUUAUACUUUAAGUUUUAGGGUACAUGUGCACAAUGUGCAGGUUUGUUACAUGUGUAUACUUGUGCCAUGUUGGUGUGAUGCACCCAUUAACUCGUCAUUUAGCAUUAGGUAUAUCUCCUAAUGCUAUCCCUCCCCUCCCCCCAUCCCACAACAGUCCCCAGAGUGUCAUGUAAGGAGCAUUUUAAAUAAAAUAUUUUGGGCAUCCUUAAGUCCUUUUUUAAAAAUCCAACAUUCUACAAUUGUGACAAAUAGGCUGAAAAAUUUUGUUUUGUUUAUACCAAAUUCAUUUUAAUAAAGCAUUUGCUGAGAUUUUAAUACAACAAAUGCCAACAAAAUGCAUCAGAGUAGAAAAAAGAAAAUAUUUUCAGAAUUGCCUAUAAUAUUGCUUGUGAUCCUAAAUUUUUUGAUGCAAGGAACUUGAAUUUUUCAGCUAAUAUUAUUCUGUUUUCUUAUUCUGUGUUUCUAUUAGAACACUCACCUAUGCUCUGCUUCCCUUGCUGUCUUCCCAUAGCUUAUGUGUGCACUAUGAAUUUCAAUAAAUAUAAAUUACUGCUUAAAAGAGUAAAGAAUGGCUACUUUAUGACUCACUGUUCUCUCCUUACAAUCUGCUCAAAAAUCUUUUUUACAAAUCCCAUUGUAGCUACUUCCCCUCAAUUCCACGAUGAAAGUGAAUGGCAAAUGCCAUUCAAUUUAGAGGAACUCAAGCACAGAGAAUAUAAAGAUGUUGUUCAAAGCCUCCCUCAAAUCUAUCUGUAGGCUUACAAACAAAAUGAGACUGGAGGCAACAUCAGUACACAUCUCCGACUCCAUAUGAGGUUACUUGAAGCUUUGGGGUUCACUCUGGAAACAGAAGACAUGCAUCAAGGUAUGUGUUCCUUAGAGACUGACAAGCAACAGUGGACCUCAGGAGAAAUAAAACAACUCAUGCUCUCAACUGCCUCUGAUUUGCAGACAAGGAAGAGUUUUCUCUAAUUUUUUUUUUUUUUUUUUUUUUUUGCCUGCAUUACUUUUUCUGUGCUUGGUGGCUAAACCAGAGAGCAGUCUGCAACAUUUUGCUUUUGGGGAUUUCCUGUGGCUUUGCCACAUUCCCUGGAGAAACUCAUAAAGUCCUGGAGUCUAUGGAGGGAUUACAGAGAGCCACAAACAUCAUUCUUCCUCUAAUCCAUCUGGGGCAGAUACAGUAUUGAUAACAACCUUUCUGUUACUUGACAGUUUCAGACCAUUCAGAUGAGAACAAAUAAUAGGAAUUUGGUAGUGGAGGUGGGGAAAAUAGAGGCAAUUGGUAUAGUCUUCUGAGUUGAAAGGACUGGUUUCCAUUCCAAAAUCGUGGAAACAAGUACAAAAUUAAACACUUUCCAUUCAAUUCUUUGGAAGUGAUUUCUUCUGUCUUUGGUUAUUGUAGUGCAUUUGUGUUGGGGAAUUGAUGCAUUUAUUUACUUUGUCCCUAAGACAAGACAGUGCUCAGUUGCUUGCAUUUUGUAGCUUCAGUUUGUUUGGCUCUCCCAGCUUGAACCUACUAUGUUAGGUAAUAAGGAAGCCCAUUUGCAUUAGAUAAUAAGAAUCAGGGACAAGGCAGACACAAUGCUGAUUAAACAAGGGCUCAUAUCCCAUUUUGAGAGCUCCCUGAUAACCAGCGCCACAAUCACAUUGGUAGGUCAAGCAAAAAUCUGAAGAUAAAAUCAAUGUCAGUUUUCUGUCUUGGUGACAGACAGCGACCCACCAGAAUUAUAUCCAGUAAAUCCUGUUAUCAAGUUCCUCACUGUCGUUGAUGAAUUCACUUAUGCUAUGGGUCAGAGAUUAUGCUGUGGCCACCACCUAUGUGAUGAUGUCUACGGCAUCCCUCACUUUGACACAGACUUACACAGAACAAUACGCUAACAAUUAUAGCUGUCCAACUUCCUGGUCUGCUUUGUAAGGUAAGGGCAGUGAAGACACUGGGAAUGUUCAAGUGGAAUCUGGGGUGUGGGGAAGACCAAACCUGCAUGAAGGAGUGGUUAGGGAAAUUAACUUACUUCCCAAACUGUAUCAGGGCCAGAAUCAUCCCAGAAACAUUUAUUUUAUCUAUUGGUUAUUUAUUAAAUAAUUUAAAUAUGAUUACUUGUCAAAAUGAAAGUACAUUCAUGUGGUUCAAAAUUCUGAAGUUCAGAAAAUAUUUUGUGAAAAUUCUUCAUAUCCAGUCAUACAGCCACCCCCUUCUUACCUAUUGAAAGCAACCAACACUAUCAGUAUCUUAUGUAUAGGGGAGCUUUAAAAAUAUGGAAUUCCAAGGCCUACUUAAUGAGACUCUUUGGAGACAGAGGCUUUGCUAUUGGUGUUUAAAAAAAAUCUUUCCAGAUAAGUUUGUUGAUAUGUGGGCACUUAAGUGAUUUUUAGACUUCUUUCAAACACUGAGAUUUUAUGGAAAUAUAUAAUGUAAUACUACUCGUCCCCUACGUUCCUACAAUGUGUGUAAAGUAUUUUCAAAACUAGUAUAUAUUUUUUUCUUUUUGCAACCCUGUAAAAUAGGUAUUAUUUUCUGCCCCCUUCCCAUUUUUCAGAGAAUGGAAACUUCUGAAAAACUCUCAGAAGUUUGGACAACUUGACGGAGGUAACUCAGCUAGUAAACAGCAGGGUCAGGUAGCAUCAUUCAAGGCCAUGCUAGGACCUAAGUGCUUUUACUUUGAGCUUUACCCCACAUCACAUCAAAUGAUAACAUGACCCGUACUUCAACAUAAUUAUUUGCUAUAAACUGUUUUAAAAUAAUUUUGAUAAAUUUGAAGUUCAUUAGGAAUGAAUUAUUCAUUUCAUUUUUAUGAUUAAACUUUACUACAUUUAUACAUGACAUGUAAGUUGAGUUGCAGCUGGUGUGUUGACAUGAUGUCAACGCUUUUAGUCAUGUAAACAUUUAUCAAUGCUGACUCUGUGUGUGUAUGUGUGUGAGACAGGGUGUUACUGUGUCGCCCAGGCUGUAGUGCAGUGGCUGUAAUCUUGGCUUACUGCAACCUCCACUUCAAACGACCCUCCUACCUCAGCCUCCUGAGUAGCUAGGACUACAGGCAUGCACCACCAUGCCCGGCUAAUUUUUAAAUUUUUUUUUGUAGAGAUAGGGUUUCGCCAUAUUGCCCAGGCUGAUCUUGAAUUUCUGGGCUCAAGCGAUCUGCCCACCUUGGCCUCCUAAAGUGCUGGGAUUACAGGAGUGAACGCUGCACCUGGCCGAUGCUGACUUUAAAGUUGCUGCCAUUUUUUUUUUUUUCAUAUUUUGGAGCUACUAAUUUUGGGGAUAAGGGCAAGAAUUCAAAUAUCUUUUCAAGCUUUUGAGGAGCUUGUAGGUUUUAGGUUCUAUACUUGAGGUGCUUGUUUUAGUUAGGUUAAGGCUAAAUUUCUCUAACAAAUAGCCCCAGAAAAAAUUCAGUGGAUUAAAGAGAAUAAGAGUUUAUUUUCCUUUCAUCUAACAGUCUGAGGUGUAUGUUUCAGGGUAGCAGGCAGCUUGCUUUAUGUAGUUUUCCAGCCAUCUAGGAUUCUCUAUCCCUUAGGCUAUUGCCUUUAUCUGCAUGAACCAUAGAUUCCUCCAGGUUCUGGUUCAUAAGUGGAGAAAGUGCAGGAGGUGCGUCCAUGGUUUUUAGGUCCAUGGUCUACCUUGAAACUGGCACACAUUCCUUCUGCUCACAUUCCUUUGUUCAGAACUUAGUCACAUGUCCACAGCAAACUACAAGUAGAAUUGGUCAACCCAUAUUGACCCAAAUGCGGUGGUGACCCACAUGUAGUGAAACAACCAGCAGCAUUCACAACAAUGCAUAAUGCAGCUAGGAGACUGUUACAAUAAUCCAGGUAGAAGCUGAUGAUGGUAGCAGUGGUAUUUGUGGGAGAUAACUGAAUUCUGGAUAUAUUUUAAAGAAUAUCCUAAUAGAUUGGAUAAGGCUGUGAGUCAAAGAAGAGUCAAGGAUGAUGUCCAGGUUUUGGCCUGAGAAACUAGAAGAACAGAUUUCUCAUUUAUAGAGGUGAGGAAGACUGAGGAGGAAAUUUCUGUAGAAAGGCAAAGAAUUUGGUGUUGGAUAUAUUGGGUGUGAGAUGCCUAUUAGAAAUCCAAGUAAAAAUGUCAUGUAAGAGUUGAGCAUAUGAGUCUGGAGUUUUAAAACUAAACACUGAAUAAAGUCAACAAGGAAAUCAAUAUAGGCAGAGAAGAAGCCUAAGGAUCAAGCUUUGGGACAUGUUGAUGUUUAGAGGUCUGGAAGAUGAAGAGAAAUUGAGGGGAGUCCCUAGAAAGGCAGGAGGAUAACCAGGAAAGGCUGGCACACAGGAGUCCAAUUGGAGAAAGCAUUUUAGGAAGCGGAACAUGAUCAACCUUUAAACAACUAUAGUGUUAAAUACUGUAAAUAGGUCAUGUUGGAUGAGAACUGAGAAUUGACUGUUGGAUUUAUCAAUAUGUCAUGGAUUUUUGGGGAAAGUGACUAGUAGGAAUAGAAUAUUGGAAUAAAAACAUAAUGAAAGGAGAGAAAUUUGAGGCAGCACAAGUACCUAUAACUAUUUCAGUGAUUUUUGUUGCAAAGGGGUAAGCAGAAAAAUGGGGCAGUAGUUAGAGAUCAAGGUUUUUUAAAGGUUGCAUGAAAAAAUCUUCAUGUUUGGAUUCUAUUGGGAAAUCAUUCACUAGAGAAGGUAAAAUUAAUGAUGCAAGGAAGGAGUGGAGAAUUGUCUUAUCAGUGUCCAUGAGAAGGCAAGAAGAAAUAGGACCUAGUUCACAAAUGGAGGUGUUGGUCUACUUGCAAGCAUGGAUGAUCCAUUCACAAUAAUGGGACAAAGCAGAGUGAACAGCUCAGAUACAGUGUAGCAGGAUGUGGUGAAGGUGCUUGUUCUUUUCUGAUUUUCUCAAUAAAAUUGUAAGUCAGGUCAUUAUUUCAGAAGAUGGAGAAGGAGACACUGUGGGUUUGAGGUGAAGAGGGAAAUUGGGAAACUCAGCUAGACAAUGGGUGUGUGAAAUAACAGGAGACUUGUACAAGGUUUUUGGGCAUCUCUGGGGCCUAGUCGGCCUCACUGGUGUAUACUUUUCUCUAGGCACAGCUCAGGUACAGAGUAGGCUGAGAGUUGGAUUUGGUUAGGAUUGGGCUGUUGCAAGGAGAGACAGUAUGAUGAAGGGAGAGAAAGAGGCAAGGGAGUUACUUGUGUGUGCAAACGGGUUACUCCGUGGAAUCUAAACUGGGUAGAAAAGGACGUGAAAACCUGAGGGGAUAAAGACCAGUGGAGAAGUGAUAGGAUUAAAGGAUUUUAGAUUUAAGUGGGUCAAUGAGUUGUUGAAGUGAUGGAGUGAGCAGGAAAGAUAGUAAAUGAUAGUUGGAGAGUGAAAUGGAGAUGACCGAGGGGUGAAAUUAAUGUCAAAGUAUAGCAUAAGACCAUGGGAGUGGGUGGUAGCUGGAGCAACAGAGGUCAAGGAACUGAAAAGCAAGGGCACUGGAAGGAUCAUAGAUAUUGAAAUUCUGAAGAAUUAGGGCAGGGGCCAUGCUGGAAGGAGGGAUGGUGAGAUAAGAGCUAAAGCCUUGAAGAAUGAGUGGGAAAGACCUGGGAGCCUAUAGACUUCAGCUACCAGUGUGGGAUAGCUGGAUAGCCACCAAUGUGGGAUAGUCUGAUGGCAUGAGAGUCAAAGCUGGAAGAUUUUAGGGAGGAGGAAGAAACAGGUAUGAAAGUGCCAGAGAAGGCAGGCCCUGUGGUUUGAGUGACAUGGAGAGAAGCUACCACCUGAGGGGGCUGCAGAGGAACAGCCCAGUGUCAGGAAGAGAAAGUGAAGGUCCCUCAAAGAAGAGGAUAGAGGUGAUUGUGCUAGGACAGACUCGAGGGCACACUGGAGGGAUAUAGGGACAGAUUAGAGCACUUAUGGAAUUCUAUGGAAUCUUGAACCUUCCAGGUCCUGGUUCAUCUAUGAAUGUUGAUAUCUUAUGACUUCAAAUUUACUCCCUCCCUCUGGGCUUCUCUCUCUUGCUUUUAUAGGACAGUCCUUUCUGGUCAUUCAAAUCAUUUAUCUGUCCUCUCUGCCAUCCCUCUCAUGUACCUUUCAGGUCUUCCACUUAUUCUAUUCCCUCCCUCCCUCCCUCCCUCCCUACUUCCUUCCCUACCUCCUUCCCUCCCUUCUUCCCUCCCUCCUUCUCUCUCUCUCUCUCUCACACACACACACAUACACACACACACUCACAUCUAUCUCCGUGAACAGAACUUUGGCAUAAACUUCUGAGCGUACGGAAAUAGAUUUGGCUCCUUACAUUAAUAAAUAAUAGUAUGCAUAAUGAGGAAAACAUUUAAAUCUAAACAAUACAGAACUUAGUAAGGUAGGAAGUCAGUUUCCCCUACUUUCAUUUCAGUCCUAAACACAUCCUUUUUUAAGCAGAAUCCAUAUAAUGUUUAUUAUAUAACCUUCCAAAUUAUUUUUAACGCUAGACAUUUACGUACACACACUUGUAUAUACUCAUUAAUGGAAUAAAGGUUCUGGUUUUUUUUCCGGCGGAGGGUCAUUUAACAUAGAUUAUCUUUGCAAGUCACUGUCAUAUUAUUUUGUUUUUAGCGGACACACAUUAUGCCAUUGUGUGAAUAAAACAUUCUGUAGUGAUGGACAUUUAGGUUGUUUGGAACUUUUUCUAUUAUAAAUAAUACUGUAGUAUACUUCCCUGUACAUAUCCUUGUGCUAAAAAUUUGGAAGCUAGACUCCUACAACUAAAGUUGCUGAAUGUUACACUGAAUGUACAUUUUAAAAUUUGGCUGACACUGCCAAAUUGUCACCCUCCCCAAAUCAUGUACCAAUUUAUACUCCCACUAGCAGUUUAUGAGUGUGCUUCUUUCCCCAUACCCUACCCAGUAAUUUGCCUCCUUCUGGAGGUUUGUAAAGAAGCAAUCUGUCAGACAGUGGAAGAGGCAAAUGAGAAUCUGUGUACACUGAAUACACCUGACACCUUGUUGAAUCCCAGGGUUGGUUCUGCUGAUCUGGCUGACUAAGCAGGGGGUCCCCCUUCUCCCCCUCUCUCUGGGCUCCAUGGGGAUCCCAGCUGAGGAACGGUUGAUGAGGGGCACUGGGGUGCUCGCCUUCACUUUGAUUUAAAGUCUGCUUCUCAGUCCACUGCUACUCGGGGACAACAUGCUCUGAUGGCUGAUAAUAUGCUCUAUUUGUAUUCUAGCUGGAUAUAGGUAUUAGAGCCAAGUGUUUAUUCAUUUCCAUCAGGGGAAGUCUUCAGGCACCGGGUGCUCACCUUGAUCUUUAAUUUUAAUCACAAAAUCAAAGCCCUGCUGUCAUUUCAAAGGCUCACUCAGACACUAAACUUUAGAAGGUCUAUUAGUCCUCAUCCCAAAUGGGUAGGAGAGGUGGAUGCUUCCAUUACAGGGCUCCAUCCCCAUUGCCUUUUCCCCUGAUUUAAACUAAGGUGCAAAGGAAGAGAAAGACUGCUCACUGAAGCUCACAACCUUUUAAAGUACCAAUAAUUUGCAUGAACAAUGAUGCCCACUUUUGUUUUUAAGACCACUUAAUAGACUUCAUUUCUUAAACCAAAAUCACUGGUUAAUCUUUCCAGACUGAGUCCUCAGAAGGGAACUGCUACAAAUUUAUUCAGAGGAUUUCAAGCAGUAAAAAUAAUGUGCAGUUCUUUUUAAUGGGUAAUAAAAUUCCCCAAGAAAAAUGAAUCUUUCUAGGCAUAGAGUAGAUGCUUUUCAAAGAAGACUCACUAUCUCCUUUUUAAAAGAGAAGAGCCUUUUUGUUUUUGUAAAAUCAACACAUUUAAAGUUUAAAAUUCAAAUGAUGCAGAAAAAUAUAAUGAAGAUAGUUUAAAAACACGUGAAAUUCUACAACCCAGAAAAAAUCACAUUACCAUUUUUGCCAAAACACAUUUCUAUAAACACUCUAUAGAUUUAUACAUAUAUGUGGACCAUACUCUUUUGUAAAUUGCUUUUUAUUUCACUCAAGAAUGUGCAAUAUCCAUCUCCUCAUAUAUGUUACUUUAAUAUUGAUAAACAUUUUAUUGUAUAGAUGCCUCAUCAUUUACUUAGCUAGUGUUCUAAUGAUGGACAGUUAGGAUCCUCCUAAUAUAUUUCUGCAAUUGCAAAUGAUAUUGCUAUGAAGAACCUUAGAGCUAACUUCGCACAUGUCUUUAUAUACUUCCAUGUAAUACUUUCCAGAAGUAAAAUUAAUGGCAGGUAAGAAUUCUACCACUGAACCACCCAUGCUAGAAAGUAAAAUGAAUGGAUUUAGAACAUUUGUACUUUUUAAAGUACUUUAGAAAGGUAUUGAAUUGUAAUUUCACAGCAAAUUAUGAGACUGCUAUUUCCCCAUACGGUAGCAGAUAUGAAAUAAUACAAUUGAUAUUGAUU